Molecule: long non-coding RNA, 1359 nt
Organism: Myotis daubentonii (Daubenton's bat)
Lineage: Eukaryota; Metazoa; Chordata; Mammalia; Chiroptera; Vespertilionidae
Gene: RTL5
Exons: 2
Source: RefSeq, a predicted model, not a curated record
CCUUUCAGCCAGGCCAUCCUCACAUCUCUCACAUGGGGGUCAAGCCAUAGCCUGAUGCUGGGCUUCAAUUAGAUGGUAAGGCUGGAGAGGGUGACUGCCGACUGCCUCCUAGUAACUCCUGGGACUUCUGGGUACAAACCUAGGGACCCUUAUAAAGAGUCCUGCUGUUUGCCAUGGGUCCAGAAACUAUGUCACUGGCCACAGAAUUCUAGGCAAAUCCACUGUUGGCCUGAACUGCCCUUGACACUGAGCUGGGCAAGCGCAAUCAAAGUGUCUGUAGUCAGAAGGAAUAGAGCAGAGUAAAUCAAGCCUCUGUUCCUCACUGGAGUCUGGUAGAUAGCCUCAUCCCCAGCCUUAGGAUUUUGAGCCUGGAAGCAAGAGGAAGGAGCUGGAGGAUGACCAGUUCGCUGGCUGGUUGCUGGUGAGGUCUCUACUCAUCAGCAGAAGGUAAGAAGCCGUUUUGUUUAUCAUAAAUUUCUCAGCCUGGGGACCAGGGGAGCCAGGUUCUUAUAACCUGUUGCUACCUUUUAAAAAGGCUUCCUCCUCCUCCAAAGAGAAAAGUAAUGCAUAAUCAUUAUAGAAAAUGUAGAAAAUAGAGAAAACUAUAAGGACAAAAAAAAUCCCAAACAUUCAGAACCCCACCACACGGACGCAAGUACUAUUUGCUGCCUUUCUUUCUAGUGUGUUUUCAGUAUGUCUUUUCAAAGCGGAGAUCAUCCUGCAAGCUCAUGAUCAGGAUUUAAAAUGGCUGCCACCUAUGCAGUCAGUCAUGCACACUGAAUAAUUGAGCUAUUUCCUCAGGAGAGAGUUCCAGAAGGGGAACUACUGUUCUUCGAGGCUGUGGACCCUGCUUGCUGAUGGUCAACACAAUGGCCCUACUGCUCAUGUCCCUGCCAGAGAAGUGCAAAGGACAGGUGCCUUGCAUCCCCACCUCCAGGGACUCCUCAGCACAGGCUGUGACUGUUCCUAUGGUGCUUCUCACCCUGAGACCUUGUAGCCUUAGCCAGGGAAAGAGUGGGUGAGCAGUGAGCUAGUUCCUGGGCCUCUGAAGGCAAGGGGACCCGGGUUACCCUUUGACCCUCUUCCCCCCUUUCCCAGAUCUUUAAUAUUUGUUGUGAUGUGAUAGCCACAAGAACUGUAAGAGAAACUAUGGGUUAUGGGCACUUUCUUGGGUUGAAAGCGGGGUGGGGGAAAACGCAUGCAGGGGUAUGAAAGCAGCCCAAGGAUUCCCAGAGACUCAGGAGAAAAUGGGUUGGAAAUAAAUGUGUUAUUGUUGCAUUACUGUGUUGUGAAGAUAAGAAAUCAUUCUAUAUGCUAAAGCUUUCUCCUCAAUAAAAAUAUAAAGGGUGUGUAAAGACA